GCCUACAUGAAGCUGGAGUUACUAGUAAUCGCAGAUCAGAAUGCUGCGGUGAAUGCGUUCCCGGGUCUUGUACACACCGCCCGUCACACCACGGGAGUUGGAGACGCCCGAAGCCGAUUAUCUAACCUUUUGGAAGAAGUCGUCGAAGGUGGAAUCAAUAACUGGGGUGAAGUCGUAACAAGGUAGCCGUAUCGGAAGGUGCGGCUGGAUCACCUCCUUUCUAAGGAGA
RNAcentral lists this ribosomal RNA (229 nucleotides) under Clostridioides difficile. RNAcentral's name for it is "partial 16S ribosomal RNA". It matches the Rfam family "Bacterial small subunit ribosomal RNA", at positions 1314 to 1533 of the family's 1533-position model. Lineage: Bacteria; Bacillati; Bacillota; Clostridia; Peptostreptococcales; Peptostreptococcaceae. The record is from RNAcentral.